Salmo salar (Atlantic salmon) is the source of this 741-nucleotide non-coding RNA. The record is from RefSeq and is a predicted model, not a curated record. NCBI's taxonomy places the organism in Eukaryota, Metazoa, Chordata, Actinopteri, Salmoniformes, Salmonidae.
CUCUUCUUGAAAAAACAUCUGGAAUUAAAAACAGCAUUCUAGUUGGUUCAUCGCUGCAAGAAGUCUAAAUAUCCUCUUUCCCACUACUUGUGCACCAACAAGAAAACAAAGGCUGACCAGCAGGUUCCACACUAAUUGGACAAUGAGAAACUGGACAUUACUAAGUCGGCUGCUGGAUGAAGUACAGUCUCAACCUAUGGUCAUAGGGAAGAUUUGCUCUCCGCUUUGUUCGUGUUGAGAAUUGUGGUGUUGGGGGCCGCAACAGAUAGGGUGUGGGUGGAAGAACAAUCAGAGUUUGUCUGCGACACUAAGAUGACAGGAUGUAGACCGAGUGGCGCAGCUGUCUAAGGCACUGCAUCUCAGUGCAAGAGGUGUCACUACAGUCCCUGUGUCACGUCCUGACCAGUAAAAGGGGUUAUUUGUUAUUGUAGUUUGGUCAGGGUGUGGCAGGGGGUGUUUGUUUUGGGGGUUUUGGGUUAUGUUCUAUGUUAGUCUAUUUCUAUGUUUAUUCUAGGUUGUCUAUGUCUAGGUUGGAAGUGUUUGGGAUUGGUCUCUAAUUGGAGGCAGCUGUAUCUCAUUGCCUCUGAUUAGAGACUAUAUUUAAGUAGGGGGUUUUUCUCAUUGUGUUUGUGGGUGGUUAUUUUCUGUUCAGUGUUUCGUGUACCUGACAGUACUGUUUGGCUGUCGUGUUUUUUCUUGUUUUGUUUAGUGUUCUAAAUAAAGUUAAUUAUGAGCACUCAA